Molecule: long non-coding RNA, 1229 nt
Organism: Microtus oregoni (creeping vole)
Lineage: Eukaryota; Metazoa; Chordata; Mammalia; Rodentia; Cricetidae
Exons: 2
Source: RefSeq, a predicted model, not a curated record
CUGGUCCCGGGCGCCCCCUCCCCCUCCCCGGUCUGGCCUGCCAGCGCCGGGCGAACCGGCUCGGGCUGUCACUCGACGCCUACUAGCGGCCGGGGAGGCUCCAGUGCGCAGGCUCCGGGCACCGGAUAAAAGCGGAGCUGGCGAGUCCGGCGCGGUCACGAUGGAGGAGCAAGAAACGGAAGAGGUCGGGGGGAGAAGCCGCAGACAAAAAAAUGCCAGCCUCGUCAGCGCCGCCUCCCUGCCACCGUGUAAGGGGUAAAAGCUGCCGUGGCCGCCGCCGGUGCAGUCGCCGCCGCUGCCUCCUAUACUUCCCCGCCGCGGGACAGUGUGCUGGGAGGGAGCGGGAGUUCGUUUGUGUGGCGGUGAUUAAACGAGGGGGAGGGCAGAACUAGUUUCUCGAAGCGGAAAGGGGAGACCAAGGACUGAAACGGGCUUCCCCACUAAAAAAAAAAAGAAAAGAAAAGAAAUCACACAGCGAUUACGGAUCUUGCUUUAGGGGGCCUUUUCCCCCCGAAAUGGCGGUUUCCGUCUUCUUGGCCCCCAGCACGACCUUGGGUGCUCUGUUAGAAGAGUGGGGAGAGGCCGAGCGGUGUCGUCAGCCAAUCGGCGCCUGGUGAGCUCGGCCGGGCGCGUCGGGAUUGGCUGGCGAUGACCUCAUGCUGCAGCAGCGGGUGGGGCCAGAGUCGUCGGGGGAGUCUGUAGCAAAGGCAGAGAGGGAGAAGUGAUGACGGCGAUCGUUGUCGUCGCGGCCUCUUUGGAACCCAAGCGGCGGCGAAGGAAGGCGCAAGGCUCUUCCCUGGUCAUUUGCUCCUCUCCCUGCGCGAGUUGGCGGAUGCCAGGGAGAUGCCCUGUGUUCAUCUCAUCAGUCCCAUCAUACCAUUGUGUGACAAGGCUCGCGAAUGAACGUCAGUGCCUGUGUUGGGACAGUUAGGAACCCUUCACCAGGUCUUAGACUUGCUUUGGGGACAUUCUGCCAUUCACUGAAACGGCAGGAGAAUAAAGGAAGUACAGAUGAGUUCAAAGCAGUCUUACCUCCCAGAGUGGUUCUCACUGCUUUGUUUCAUUUGGCCAGCUGUUUGGGGACACACGAGGCUCUCCAGCCAGGAGGCCCUCCCCAGCUCUGAUUUCCCCUCGAAACAACACAGUAUCACCCUUAGAAUGUGGCAAAUGUAAAUUCCUGUUUGGGGAACAGCAAUUGGUCUUUGAAUUAAAAGCUGAAUAAACCAGUA